RNAcentral lists this ribosomal RNA (465 nucleotides) under uncultured bacterium. Its description in RNAcentral is "partial 16S ribosomal RNA". It matches the Rfam family "Bacterial small subunit ribosomal RNA", at positions 28 to 507 of the family's 1533-position model. The record is from RNAcentral.
GACGAACGCUGGCGGCGUGCUUAACACAUGCAAGUCGAACGGAAAGGCCCUGCUUGCAGGGUACUCGAGUGGCGAACGGGUGAGUAACACGUGGGUGAUCUGCCCUGCACUUCGGGAUAAGCCUGGGAAACUGGGUCUAAUACCGGAUAGGAGCCAUUUUUAGUGUGAUGGUUGGAAAGUUUUUUCGGUGUAGGAUGAGCUCGCGGCCUACCAGCUUGUUGGUGGGGUAAUGGCCUACCAAGGCGGCGACGGGUAGCCGGCCUGAGAGGGUGGACGGCCACAUUGGGACUGAGAGACGGCCCAGACGCCUACGGGAGGCAGCAGUGGGGAAUAUUGCACAAUGGGCGCAAGCCUGAUGCAGCGACGCCGCGUGGGGGAUGACGGCCUUCGGGUUGUAAACUCCUUUCGCUAGGGACGAAGCUUUUUGUGACGGUACCUAGAUAAGAAGCACCGGCUAACUACGUG